AUUGAACGCUGGCGGCAGGCUUAACACAUGCAAGUCGAGCGGGGGAAGGUAGCUUGCUACCGGACCUAGCGGCGGACGGGUGAGUAAUGCUUAGGAAUCUGCCUAUUAGUGGGGGACAACAUCUCGAAAGGGAUGCUAAUACCGCAUACGUCCUACGGGAGAAAGCAGGGGAUCUUCGGACCUUGCGCUAAUAGAUGAGCCUAAGUCGGAUUAGCUAGUUGGUGGGGUAAAGGCCUACCAAGGCGACGAUCUGUAGCGGGUCUGAGAGGAUGAUCCGCCACCAUGGGACUGAGACACGGCCCAGACUCCUACGGGAGGCAGCAGUGGGGAAUAUUGGACAAUGGGGGGAACCCUGAUCCAGCCAUGCCGCGUGUGUGAAGAAGGCCUUAUGGUUGUAAAGCACUUUAAGCGAGGAGGAGGCUACUCUAGUUAAUACCUAGGGAUAGUGGACGUUACUCGCAGAAUAAGCACCGGCUAACUCUGUGCCAGCAGCCGCCUAA
RNAcentral lists this ribosomal RNA (500 nucleotides) under uncultured bacterium. Its description in RNAcentral is "partial 16S ribosomal RNA". It matches the Rfam family "Bacterial small subunit ribosomal RNA", at positions 30 to 522 of the family's 1533-position model. The record is from RNAcentral.